Molecule: ribosomal RNA, 472 nt
Filed under: uncultured bacterium
Lineage: Bacteria
Description: bacterial SSU rRNA
Rfam family: Bacterial small subunit ribosomal RNA
Source: RNAcentral
CAGGCCUAACACAUGCAAGUCGAACGGUGCCUUCGGGUCCAGUGGCAAACGGGUGCGUAACGCGUAAGCAACCUGCCUCAAACUGGGGGAUAGCCCGGCGAAAGCUGGGGUAAACCCGCACGGUCCCAGCGGCUCACCUGGGCUGGUGGGUAAACAUUGAUGGGUUGGAGAGGGGCUUGCGUCUGAUUAGCUAGUUGGCGGGGUAAGGGCCCACCAAGGCGAUGAUCAGUAGGGGUUCUGAGAGGAUUGGCCCCCACAUGGGUACUGAGAUACGGACCCAACUCCUACGGGAGGCAGCAGUAGGGAAUAUUGGGCAAUGGGCGCAAGCCUGACCCAGCCAUGCCGCGUGGAGGAUGACGGCGCUCAGCGUUGUAAACUCCUUUUAUCAGGGAAGAACAGUAUGCCUGCGGGCGUAUGUGACGGUACCUGAGGAAUCAGCACCGGCUAACUCCGUGCCAGCAGCCGCGGUAAU